Molecule: unclassified non-coding RNA, 975 nt
Filed under: Portunus trituberculatus (swimming crab)
Lineage: Eukaryota; Metazoa; Arthropoda; Malacostraca; Decapoda; Portunidae
Description: uncharacterized LOC123518670, transcript variant X1
Source: RNAcentral
AUUACGUAAAUGGUACAAAUGAACGUUGACCUCUAACAUGAAGAAUACCAGAAUUAUAUUAGUGAUGAAUAAACGAGAUGUGGUAACUACUGGUGUAUGAGAGGCGGGGCCGCGAGCGCUCACGUUCGGCCAGUGCUGCCGGGGAUGGCAGAGAAUAACAAUGUGCUGGAGGAAGAUGCGGCACGCGCCCUCACCAAGCUUCGUCUCUUGUGCACGAAAAUGGUUCAGGACGCUAGAGAUGCGGGCGUCACCACGGAAGAGAUUAAAGCCGCAUAUACGGUGAUGAAGUACAAUGAGUUAGAUGAUAGUGUCAAUGAAGAUAAAAGCAAAUGCGGCGAUUCCACCAGAGUAGUGAGUGCCAAGCAGUGGCACUGGCACCAGUGGGCGGGUGUGGGGGCUCUGGUGGCGCUGCUGGUAGCUGUUAUAUUGUGUUACUACGGUGAUAUUGUUAAAACCCACUUGAUUACCUCCAAAUGCUUGGUCAGAAAUAAUUAUAUUGUAAUGGAAGCCACUCGGCCACCCACCAAGUGCGGGCGUGUGUGCAGCGGUGUGGGCGGUGCCCUGGAGCUAAGUGCCAAUAUUUCGCGGGAGGAGUUUGAACGGUGGGCGUACCUCUCAAGGCCGCUGGUGGUGAGGGGAGGUGCCGCCCACUGGCUAGCACUAGACAAGUUUUCGGUGGGCUUCCUGCGGAGUUUAUAUGACAGUAUCGAGGGAUCCUACGAGGCUGUUGCAGAGGACUGUCAAUUCUUGCCUUUCCGUAGCGAGUUUCUUGACCUUAGGACAGCUCUUGCCAUGCACCCUGCUCGCGCCGCCGCCCGACCCGGCACCAAACACUGGUAUUUUGGCUGGGUUCAUUGAAGACCUUGCUUGCACCUACCGCGUCCUCCUCCUCUUCUCAUUCUCACCAAUUAUCUUCAGGAGUAACUGUUCCCCCGGGGUUAGCAGCGUCCUGAGGCAACUAGCUCCCCGCCCUUC